CUGUUCAGGACUGAACACAGACCACUCACCAUGGGGCUUGGGCUCAGCUGGGUUUUCCUUGUUGCUAUUUUAAGAGGUGUCCAGGGUGAGGUGCAGCUGGUGGAGUCUGGGGGAGCCGUGGUGAAGCCUGGGGGGUCUCUGAGACUCUCCUGUGCAGCCUCUGGAUUCACCUUCAGUAGCUACCACAUGCACUGGGUCCGCCAGGCUCCAGGGAAGGGCCUGGAGUGGGUGGCAGUAAUAUUGUAUGAUGGAAGUAGCAAAUAUUACGCAGACUCUGUGAAGGGCCGAUUCACCAUCUCCAGAGACAACGCCAAGAACACGGUGUAUCUGCAAAUGAACAGCCUGAAAUCUGAGGACUCGGCCGUGUAUUACUGUGCAGCAGACACAGUGAGAGGAGGUCAGUGUGAGCCCAGACACAAACCUCCCUGCAGGAGGGACUGA
Miniopterus natalensis is the source of this 441-nucleotide non-coding RNA. Lineage: Eukaryota; Metazoa; Chordata; Mammalia; Chiroptera; Miniopteridae. The record is from the annotation of a RefSeq genome assembly.